UACGUAGGGCGCAAGCGUUAUCCGGAAUUAUUGGGCGUAAAGGGCUCGUAGGCGGUUUGUCGCGUCGGGAGUGAAAACUCAGGGCUUAACCCUGAGCCUGCUUCCGAUACGGGCAGACUAGAGGCAUGCAGGGGAGAACGGAAUUCCUGGUGUAGCGGUGAAAUGCGUAGAUAUCGUGAGGAACACCAGAGGCGAAGGCGGUUACCUGGACAGUUACUGACGCUCAGGCACGAAAGCAUGGGGAGCAAAAGGG
RNAcentral lists this ribosomal RNA (253 nucleotides) under uncultured bacterium. Its description in RNAcentral is "partial 16S ribosomal RNA". It matches the Rfam family "Bacterial small subunit ribosomal RNA", at positions 524 to 776 of the family's 1533-position model. The record is from RNAcentral.